AUGGCCCACACUACUUUACAAGGAACUGCUGUUGUCCAGUUUAGAGGCAAACCAUUGUUUAACAACGGAUAUGCGGAGGCGUUUUUAUGGAUGUGCAUUUCCCCUGAAUCUAGACAGCUAUUCAACCUGUUGCGGACAUUUUUGGUGGAAUUCAAUGCUUCAGCAGAUGUGCCGGCGCUGCUGCCUGCGCCUUCUCCAGCGCCGCCUCGGUCACCAGCGCCAACUCCGGUCAGUGGUCUCCGGCACGCCCUCGCGGCUGGACGAGGCAGAGAUGUGCCGAGGAUCCCCACGCCCUUGGUUCUCAUGUUCUCUGCUCCCAGCCGCAGCAGAUCGUGCCAAAGGCAUUAUCGUGAGGAGGGAAGCGGCUGCAGAUUAAGGACAACGCGGGUUAAGAGCAUGGUCAUAGUCUAG
Molecule: ribosomal RNA, 411 nt
Filed under: Triticum aestivum (bread wheat)
Lineage: Eukaryota; Viridiplantae; Streptophyta; Magnoliopsida; Poales; Poaceae
Description: partial small subunit ribosomal RNA
Source: RNAcentral